AUGGGGUUUAGUGCAUAUCAAAAGAUAUCGGUGGCAAUGCAGGUACUCGCUUAUGGCAUACCCGCGGAUUAUACCGACGAGUAUCUUCGCAUUGGGCAAGAUACAACCACGGAGUCCGUCCGUAGGUUUGCCAAGUUGGUCAUCCAGUUGUAUGGUGAGAAGUAUCUUCGGGCACCAAACGAGGAAGAUACAAAGAGAUUAAUGGAAAUGAAUGAAAAAAGGCGAUGGCCGCGGAUGCUUGGUAGUCUUGAUUGCAUGCAUUGGAGGUGA
Molecule: ribosomal RNA, 270 nt
Filed under: Triticum aestivum (bread wheat)
Lineage: Eukaryota; Viridiplantae; Streptophyta; Magnoliopsida; Poales; Poaceae
Description: partial small subunit ribosomal RNA
Source: RNAcentral